Solanum dulcamara is the source of this 102-nucleotide small nuclear RNA. The record is from RefSeq and is a predicted model, not a curated record. NCBI's taxonomy places the organism in Eukaryota, Viridiplantae, Streptophyta, Magnoliopsida, Solanales, Solanaceae.
AUUCCCUCCGGGGACAUCUGAUAAAAUUGGAACUAUAUAGAGAAGAUUAAGAUAACCCCUUCACAAGUUCUCGGUCCAAAUUUUGCUCAUAGAUACAUUUCU